UACGUAGGUGGCAAGCGUUAUCCGGAAUUAUUGGGCGUAAAGAGCGCGCAGGUGGUUGAUUAAGUCUGAUGUGAAAGCCCACGGCUUAACCGUGGAGGGUCAUUGGAAACUGGUCGACUUGAGUGCAGAAGAGGGAAGUGGAAUUCCAUGUGUAGCGGUGAAAUGCGUAGAGAUAUGGAGGAACACCAGUGGCGAAGGCGGCUUCCUGGUCUGUAACUGACACUGAGGCGCGAAAGCGUGGGGAGCAAACAGGAUUAGAUACCU
RNAcentral lists this ribosomal RNA (264 nucleotides) under uncultured prokaryote. RNAcentral's name for it is "partial 16S ribosomal RNA". It matches the Rfam family "Bacterial small subunit ribosomal RNA", at positions 524 to 787 of the family's 1533-position model. The record is from RNAcentral.